UAUCAAGAGGAAAAAUUUGUCUGAUUGCAACCUCAUUAAAAAAAUGCUAAAGCAGUAACA
Molecule: non-coding RNA, 60 nt
Organism: Xanthomarina gelatinilytica
Lineage: Bacteria; Pseudomonadati; Bacteroidota; Flavobacteriia; Flavobacteriales; Flavobacteriaceae
Source: Rfam